RNAcentral lists this ribosomal RNA (301 nucleotides) under uncultured bacterium. RNAcentral describes it as "partial 16S ribosomal RNA". It matches the Rfam family "Bacterial small subunit ribosomal RNA", at positions 509 to 807 of the family's 1533-position model. The record is from RNAcentral.
CAGCCGCCACGGGAAUACGUAGGGUGCGAGCGUUAAUCGGAAUUACUGGGCGUAAAGCGUGCGCAGGCGGUUGUGUAAGACAGGUGUGAAAUCCCCGGGCUUAACCUGGGAACUGCGCUUGUGACUGCACAGCUAGAGUAUGGCAGAGGGGGGUGGAAUUCCACGUGUAGCAGUGAAAUGCGUAGAGAUGUGGAGGAACACCGAUGGCGAAGGCAGCCCCCUGGGCCAAUACUGACGCUCAUGCACGAAAGCAUGGGGAGCAAACAGGAUUAGAUACCCGCGUAGUCCCUGUCUCUUAUAC